CAAAAGAGCGAGUUAGUGACCAAUAGAGACGUCAGGGAGAGUCUGAGCUCAACAAACACCAGGACGAGUAUUUCUUCCGCCCAGGGGGGUGGGGGUGAGGCCGAAGGCUGGGACUCCAAGCCCAGGCAGCGCCCCGCCCCCCCCCCCAAAGCAUCACCAUCUCGAUCAUCCCAACCAUUCCCAGCCCGGGGAAGAGGGUCCUGCGCCCCAGACCUCCCUCAGAGACACGAUCUUGAUUCAUUCAAUAAGCAGUUACCGAGUGUCUUCUUUAUACCAGGAGCUCAAGAAACAAGGGGGGAAACAAUAGUUCUUCCCCUCCAGGAGCUUAUGUUUUAUUGGAAUCAAAUCCAAUCCUACCUAUUGAAUUCAAAUUUACCAAACAUUUUGUACCCCCAAUAUCUGCAAGACACUGUGCUAAAGACUAGGGGAAAUAUAGGGAUAUGAUUAUGAAGGUAGAAUUCCUGUUCUUGAGUUUGUAGUCUCUAGUGGAAUGUGGUGGGGAGGCAGGUAUAACAUGGGCACAGACAAAUAUAAUGAAAGACAGAGAGUAAUGCAGACAAAAAAAAAGAGAUUUUAGGGGCAUCUGGUUGAAGGAACUAGGCAUGUUUAGCUUAGAGAAGAAAAGAUUUAGGGGUGUUUAUAUAGUGGUCUUCAGGGGCAGCAUAUAAUAGAGAGAGCCUUUGGGGUCUGAGUCCAAAACCCCUCUAGACUGUGUAUCAUGAAUUGAGAUCAGAAAAAGGAAUCCAACAGGCCAUCAAAGAACUUCCUAAGAAAAAAUCCCCAGGGCCUGAUGGAUUCACAAGUGAAUUCUAUCAAACAUUCAAAGAACAGCUAAUCCCAAUACUAUACAAACCAUUUGACAUUAUAAGCAAAGAGGGAGUUCUACCAA
This 889-nucleotide long non-coding RNA is filed under the name Monodelphis domestica (gray short-tailed opossum). RNAcentral describes it as "lncRNA (ENSMODG00000049131.1)". The record is from RNAcentral. Lineage: Eukaryota; Metazoa; Chordata; Mammalia; Didelphimorphia; Didelphidae.